AACGUAUUACCUGAGGCAGUGGGUCUGGAAAGUGGGAGGGCUUGAGUGCAGUGGACGCUGCUGUGGUAGGACCAGACCCCCUCUGGGACUGAGGCGCUCAUUCCCCCACUGGACAUGGUGACGGCGCUCAGGUCUCAGCCGAGCAUCUCUCGGGACUGUUCAUCAGCCACUCGUGUUCCUCUCUCCUCUCCAAGGGGAAACUGCAUGCAAUGACGGCUCCAUGCAAAGUGCUACACUGGGGAUGGAGCCCUCAGUACGAGUCUCCGGGAGACCCUUCAUAUUUACACCAUGACACCCUUUUAACUCUGUUAUUGUAGAAGAACGUAUUUUGUUGGACAACCCUUCCAGCAUAAGCAGAGUAAAUGAUGGGCUGAGCCUCAGUC
This 383-nucleotide long non-coding RNA is filed under the name Heterocephalus glaber (naked mole-rat). Its description in RNAcentral is "lncRNA (ENSHGLG00100030138.2)". Lineage: Eukaryota; Metazoa; Chordata; Mammalia; Rodentia; Bathyergidae. The record is from RNAcentral.